CGUAGUAACAUAGAGCUAAUACAUGCAAAUACUCCUGACCGCAAGGAAAGGAGGCACUUAUUAGAUUACAAACCAAUCCAUGUAAAAGUGGUAUAGGGUGAUUCAUAGUAAGGUUGGAAAUCGUAUGGGGGUAACUCUGACGAUAUAUCAUUCAAAUUUCUGCCCUAUCAACUUUGGAUGGUAGUAUAGAGGACUACCAUGGUGAUAACGGGUAACGGAGAAUUAGGGUUCGAUUCCGGAGAGGGGAGCCUGAGAAAUGGCUACCACUUCUAAGGAGGGCAGCAGGCGCGCAAAUUACCCAAUCCUAAUACUGGGAGGUAGUGACAAUAAAUAACAAUGCUGGAGUUUAUGCUCUGGUAAUUGGAAUGAGAACAAUUUAAACCCCUUAACGAGUAACCAUCAGAGGGCAAGUCUGGUGCCAGCAGCCGCGGUAAUUCCAGCUCUGAUAGCGUAUAUUAAAGUUGUUGCAGUUAAAAAGCUCGUAGUUGGAUUUUAGAGUAUAUUGAUAUGGUCUC
Molecule: ribosomal RNA, 515 nt
Filed under: uncultured eukaryote
Lineage: Eukaryota
Description: bacterial SSU rRNA
Rfam family: Eukaryotic small subunit ribosomal RNA
Source: RNAcentral